UCACUGGAGGAUUAGUGGUUAGGCCACGGCACUCUCACCCCCAUGCCCGGGUUCAAUUCCCAGCCAGGGAA
Non-coding RNA from Pangasianodon gigas (Mekong giant catfish), 71 nucleotides. Lineage: Eukaryota; Metazoa; Chordata; Actinopteri; Siluriformes; Pangasiidae. The record is from the annotation of a GenBank genome assembly.